RNAcentral lists this unclassified non-coding RNA (413 nucleotides) under Hevea brasiliensis (rubber tree). Lineage: Eukaryota; Viridiplantae; Streptophyta; Magnoliopsida; Malpighiales; Euphorbiaceae. The record is from RNAcentral.
GUCUAGAAAUGAAGUGCCUUGCAGAAGUGAUAAUCCGAGUCUGAGUAGAGGGUGGAUCCAUAUUUCUAUAGCUUUUGGGCAUUUAAAAAACAGAUGGCUAAUUUUUUCCACUUCUCCACAAAAUCCAGAAAGCGAGGGAUACAGUUCUGGAUCUUUUGCUUGGUACGCAAACAUUCUUUAAACAGUUUCGGAAGUUUCGGAGGGAUUGGCAACUUCCAAGGAUCGUUCAUAUGGCUUGGAUAGGUUAUGGGCCUCUAGACCUAGUAGCUCUACUGUUAGAGGAUAGCUAGCAAAGCUAUAAAGAUGGAGGAAACACCACAUACGAAUAAAGUAACCACAACUUGCUUACACGCUGUAACAUAACAUAUCUACGAAUAACACACAAUCCACAAAUCACUCAACUAUUGUUGAGG